GGAUAAUAGUUACGCUGAACGGUGCCCACUGGUCACCUGAACAGAAACGGUUAAAAUUGAGUCUAUACGCGACAAAAAAUAGUACAUGAUUUCCGGUUUAAAGUGAAAGUACGUUACUAAGGGGAUACUCAGUGCAGCAUACUCAGUUUAUAAUUGCUGUUAUACAAUACGGAUAUGAGCUUAAUGCAAAGUUCUGGAAUCACCAUAUUUCAAAGGAUACUGUUGAGAGAGGGUUUUUUGUUCGUGAAUUAAAUAGAGGAAAUAUGACAGGUGUAACAGGCGAUUUUGAAGGUUUGGAAAACUUUAAUUUGGAAGACCUCCAUGAAUUGCGACAUGAAGAAAAGGAAGAAGUUAAAAAACAGAUUGAAGCCAUAUAUAUUGAGGCAACCUCUUUGGAGAAAAAAGCCAGAGAAUUGGCAUGUGAUACAAAUUCAAAACAGUAUAUUCUUCGCCACGCACAAACCUUAACAGAAAAAGCAAAUGAGAUGAAAGAAAAGAUAUGCUUAGCAUCAGGGAAAUCAUUCCAAACACCUGAUGAACUACAAAUUGCUAUAAAGCAAUCCAUAGCUUCAAACGAGGAACAAACAUUAAUAGUUGAGAGACUUAAGAGGAACUGUUCAUCCCAUGGCUUAGAAUACAGAGGUCAAACACCAGG
Mytilus californianus (California mussel) is the source of this 655-nucleotide long non-coding RNA. RefSeq lists it as uncharacterized. Lineage: Eukaryota; Metazoa; Mollusca; Bivalvia; Mytilida; Mytilidae. The record is from RefSeq and is a predicted model, not a curated record. The transcript has 5 exons.